GUGUCAGCCGCCGCGGUAAUACGGAGGGUGCUAGCGUUGUUCGGAAUUAUUGGGCGUAAAGGGCGCGUAGGCGGUUAUGUAAGUCAGAUGUGAAAUACUUCGGCUCAACCGAAGAACUGCAUUUGAUACUACAUAGCUAGAGUACAGAAGAGGGAAAUGGAAUUCCCGGUGUAGAGGUGAAAUUCGUAGAUAUCGGGAGGAACACCAGUGGCGAAGGCGAUUUCCUGGUCUGAUACUGACGCUGAGGCGCGAAAGCGUGGGGAGCAAACAGGAUUAGAUACCCUGGUAGUCCACGCUGUAAACGGUGAUCACUAGGUGUGGGAGGUGUAAUACCUUCUGUGCCGAAGCAAACGCGUUAAGUGAUCCGCCUGGGAAGUACGGCCGCAAGGUUGAA
RNAcentral lists this ribosomal RNA (394 nucleotides) under uncultured bacterium. RNAcentral's name for it is "bacterial SSU rRNA". It matches the Rfam family "Bacterial small subunit ribosomal RNA", at positions 505 to 898 of the family's 1533-position model. The record is from RNAcentral.